AUUGAACGCUGGCGGCAUGCUUUACACAUGCAAGUCGAACGGUAACAGGCCGCAAGGUGCUGACGAGUGGCGAACGGGUGAGUAAUGCAUCGGAACGUGCCCAGUCGUGGGGGAUAACUACUCGAAAGAGUAGCUAAUACCGCAUACGAUCUAUGGAUGAAAGCGGGGGACCGUAAGGCCUCGCGCGAUUGGAGCGGCCGAUGUCAGAUUAGGUAGUUGGUGGGGUAAAGGCUCACCAAGCCAACGAUCUGUAGCUGGUCUGAGAGGACGACCAGCCACACUGGGACUGAGACACGGCCCAGACUCCUACGGGAGGCAGCAGUGGGGAAUUUUGGACAAUGGGCGCAAGCCUGAUCCAGCAAUGCCGCGUGCAGGAAGAAGGCCUUCGGGUUGUAAACUGCUUUUGUACGGAACGAAACGGCUCUGGUUAAUACCCGGGGCUAAUGACGGUGCCGUAAGAAUAAGCACCGGCUAACUACGUG
Molecule: ribosomal RNA, 482 nt
Filed under: uncultured bacterium
Lineage: Bacteria
Description: partial 16S ribosomal RNA
Rfam family: Bacterial small subunit ribosomal RNA
Source: RNAcentral